CAUAAUGAAGUUAUGUAACUUUAGCAUGAUGCCCAAUAACCAACGACUUCCCAAAUCCAGUAAUGUUGUCACAACCUAAUUCCUUUGGAUAAGAUGACCAAUGGCUUUUACAACGCCAGAACAGAUGGUGGCAGUAGUGUGCGGAUUGUGUGUGGCAGCCGGAAACAACGAGCUUGCCGAGUUCUUUGACUGAAUACAUAUCCGCGGACACUCUGAAGGCGGCAUUCAAGAUGUUUGUAGGGUCCUCACCUCAGCUACCUCUCACAAGGUGCCCCUGAAAAAGAAAUUCAAGACGUUUGGGUCCUCAGCUCAACUGACCAAGACCUUUGCUCAUUGAAGGCAUGAAGUAAUUUGUGAUGCCCCCACGAUUGCAGUUUUUAAACGCAGAUGGCUUGCUCUUUUUAACAUGUGCGAGAGCUGGAUGGUCUUUCAACAACACUGCUCCGGGUCUUCAGCAAGAAAGGUGCUUCUCAUGCAAGGAAGAUACAGAGGAUCCUGGUGCCCAUGACUCAGACUGACAACAUUGAUGUGAAGAGGGAGUGCAUGCUGAGGAGCUGACGGUCUACCUGAAUGAAGAGCCAGACAAAGUGGAUGUUGAUCUGGACGGUCCAGCUGAAACGUAUUGUCUUCGUGUGCGUGUGAUCGGCAGAGAGUCCUCAACGACAUUGGUAACGUACCUGUGGCCAUUGCAGUGUUUGUUUUGGUUUAUGCUCUUAAUCUCUGUUACCUUCCAGAAUGGAAGUACACUUUCAAAUUUCUGUUUCAUUCUAACCGUCUGUUUCAUCAGUUUUUGCACUGCUUUUAAAUGUACACUGUGUAAGAUUCUUAGUUGUUUAUUUCCAGAAUUCAUGCUACCCAUUCACUAAUGUUACCUUUUUCAUGAAUACUUAGCACCACCAUUAGGGUGCAUCAGUUGCCCCCUAUGAAAAGAUAUGGCCUUGGCCCUAUAGUAAAAAUGUUCUACACCCA
This is a long non-coding RNA of Engraulis encrasicolus (European anchovy), 969 nucleotides long. RefSeq lists it as uncharacterized. The record is from RefSeq and is a predicted model, not a curated record. Lineage: Eukaryota; Metazoa; Chordata; Actinopteri; Clupeiformes; Engraulidae. The transcript has 6 exons.